Micropterus dolomieu (smallmouth bass) is the source of this 626-nucleotide long non-coding RNA. RefSeq lists it as uncharacterized. Lineage: Eukaryota; Metazoa; Chordata; Actinopteri; Centrarchiformes; Centrarchidae. The record is from RefSeq and is a predicted model, not a curated record. The transcript has 2 exons.
GAAGCCGAGGAAAGAAGAUAGAUACGCUCAGAGCUGUAAGAGGUUGUAGGUUCCGUAGGAUUAAUAAUAUUACUUGUCCUAAAAGUUAAGCGGCAGGAGAUUUUUUUGUCAGUGUGAGACCUGUUAACGCGGGAGAGUGAGCUGGUUAAAUCGGCCACGGAGAUUCUACUGAAGUGGAGCUAACGCCAUAGCCACGUGCAGACUGCUAGUACAUAGCCAGAAACCUAUUUUUGUCGCUGAGUUUCUGAUGUGCGUCAGAUGCUGCUACCCAUGCUGCUGCAGUAGAUGUGCUCAGGACUUGCCGCUGCAGGGCGGAGGUGUCUGUGUUUUUGUGCAGGGACGGAGCCUCAGGACGGGUUUCUUCAUUGUGCAUCUCUCCACUGGACAGAAGGGUUCAGAAGGACUGUCACUAUAAGCUUUCUGUUACCAAGGAACCGUGAGUACAGAAAAUAUUUUUCUGGGAGGUUGCAGCUGAGCUCCAACAAGCGCGCCAACGUUGUGGUACCACAAACUGAGGAAAAAAACCCGGGUAUUGUUCUGUAAUUUCAUUUGGACCAUGGGGACAUUUUAAAAGGGCAACUCACCUGGUUCUGGAAAUGAACAUAAAUAUAUUUUUGUGUACAACA